UGUUACAGAACAGAGGGCUCCUUCCAGCAGCUGGAACCUCCAGCAAAACCUGUCCCCGAGUGACCACGCAUGAAUCCGACAUGACCGGCAGCUGAUAAAUGGCCUCCUUACAACUUCAAAGCCUGGGAACCGGGCGGGCAUCAAAGCCAAUAAAUUUGGACGGUACUCGCGACGGCGGCCAACGGCAACUCCUGGAGGUCAUGCCACUUGCAAGGAAGAAAUCACUGUCACACCCCAUGGUCCACUGGGCUUGAGCAAACCCAUGUUCUUGCGAACAGAUGCAAAAUCCAGCAUUUUCUGCCUGCAAGGGAACUUGCACUUGGAGACUUGCAGCAUCAGCAAGAAUCUGUCCAGUUGUCUGAGCAUCAUCACCCAGAUGUUCUGGGUAUUAAGAGUCUCAAGCAAAAUACGUCGUCCAUAUUUUUUUGCAGCCCUGUGAGAUACUCAACACCACGAUGACCCAGAUCCAUGGGAAAGUGUAUACAAAGCAGAGCGGGAAGAGCCGAAAGCAGAGUUGUGUGUAUAUACGGAU
Long non-coding RNA from Herpailurus yagouaroundi (jaguarundi), 532 nucleotides. RefSeq lists it as uncharacterized. The transcript has 2 exons. The record is from RefSeq and is a predicted model, not a curated record. NCBI's taxonomy places the organism in Eukaryota, Metazoa, Chordata, Mammalia, Carnivora, Felidae.